RNAcentral lists this long non-coding RNA (363 nucleotides) under Olea europaea (common olive). RNAcentral's name for it is "long non-coding RNA (OEUR_LNC014749)". Lineage: Eukaryota; Viridiplantae; Streptophyta; Magnoliopsida; Lamiales; Oleaceae. The record is from RNAcentral.
AAAAAAAGUGCAAACAACUGCCAUAUAUAUUUCUAUGUAAAUCUUAUCAAACAAAUCUUUCUUCAUUGACAUAUAAACGAGCAUUUUCACCAUUUUUCGAAUAAGCCAUUGGCUUGAAAGUAGACAAAAUACUAUCCGAAGUAAUCACUUUUUAACCGAUAAUAAUUAAGUCCAAGAUUCCUCCACUCCAUAUUUCUUUAUCACCCAUAUACCAACAUGAAACUCGCUAGCGGUGUUUAAAGAAAGACAUACUCCUAGAAUAUCCAACUCAAUGCUAACAUUCUCGAUCAGAAUAUCUAUUGAUAGUAUCAAUUCAUAAUGAUUCUCAUUCUCAAAACUAAAACCCAUAAUUUUAAAUGAUUU